GGACAUGGAAGAGAAGAAGGUAGGCUUUCUGGUCCCAACGCUCUUUGAACUAGUUCCAGUUUGAUUGUUCUUCUGCAUGUCCGAUAUGUACAUCUUCAUCUUCAAAAGCUCCGUUCGCAAUGCCUCAUUCUCCUUUACCAGCGACACGUCUGCCUGCAACUGAUUCCUGGUGGUCACGGCGUCUGGCUGGUUGCGGUCAUCCGCCCCCCCACUCCUUAGCUUUAGCUGAUCAUAGUACAAAGCGUGCAAAACAAUCUGCACAGGCAAGCGCUUGUUUUGGGAUGCAUGCACUCGAGCUUCAUAGGACAGCUUCAGGGGGUCCAUGGAGCUGCAUACCUUCUCCCUCUCUAUCUCGUCCAGAUUUGGAUGAGACUGCAUGCAUGCAUUAAUUCAUUCAUUUGCAAAUUAACUCACAAUUCAUAUUUGUUGAUAAAUUAUUCAACUUUCAGAUUAAUUAAAAGAUUAAAAAUUAACCUUGAGGUAGACGUCAAUGGCCCGGUAGAGAUCAUCCUCCACCUUUCUGGCUCCUUUAGGGACGAGAUUGGCGAUGCCGUUGAACUUGGAGAUGGAAAGUUCAACUGCAGUUGCUAUCUCCGCCAGGUAUGCGUCUACAGUCUUAGCAACUCUCUGCAUCGCGGAGGAACUUACCUCCCUAAAAUCGCCGCCAUUGAAAACAGCCAUGCUCUUCUCCUUCUCCACAAACCCGGAGAUGAUCCUCCUCACGCUGUCCAGAUCGAAGAGCCUCUCCCCAUCAUAUGUGAAAGACAGGACCAAAAGAUCAUCAACCGUAACAUGCUCCAAUAUGAGCGAGAUCCGUUUCUCCGCCUCGUUCCUGCAAGCACUGGAGGCUUUCAGAAAAAUUGCACAGCGGAGAAGGCAACACAAGAAGUGGAUCGGAAAGGCAGCUUUCUCCACCGGAAGCAGUUGCACAAUGGACUCUAAAAGCUCACGCUGCUGGAUCCGAAGAUCAGAGUCAAUGGGCUCCGAACACUUGAUGCCGUUGCCCGAGUGAUCUCGUACUAGAUCUCGGAGCCAUCUCUCCGCGUAAGUUAUGAGAGCGGCAGCGAUGGUUAGGGGUUUUGCACCCCUUUGUUUCAUUGCGCCAAUGAUUCUACCAAACAACUCAACGUCCAGGAUCGAUAGCUCUUCCGUCCACCAGUUUGGAGGCGUACGGCAAGGGAAACUCGCCUCGUUACAAGCCUGCAGGCACCAAUUAAUAUUCAUGGUAUAUAACAUAAUUAAAUCGAUUCGCAUAAAAAAUACACGCACCCUAGCACUGGCUACAUCAAUGCAUCUUUGAACAAUCUUGAGCUCCUCAGCCAUGGGAAGCAGAUCCUCGCAUGAUUUGAGAACGACGACGGCGCCAGAAAGGCUAGACAGGGCAACCUGUGAGAGGAAAUCUUCGGUGCGCCCUGCCAGGUUGUUGUCGCAGUAUUUAUUCGUCAUUUGGAGAUACUCGGCAGCACAUCGGAGAGCCGCCACGUUAUGCACUGUAAUCUCGAAAUUAACGCCGUAGCA
Molecule: long non-coding RNA, 1518 nt
Filed under: Gossypium barbadense (sea-island cotton)
Lineage: Eukaryota; Viridiplantae; Streptophyta; Magnoliopsida; Malvales; Malvaceae
Description: long non-coding RNA (GBAR_LNC018857)
Source: RNAcentral